GGGUUUGCAGCUGGCUCUCCGGAGUAUGUGCUCGCCUCGCUCAUCCACUCUACACCUGUGCACUAUCUGUGGGCUGGGGUUAACGCCUUGGCCUACGUCUUCACACAAACAAUAUGUAUCAGAAUGUAACACCGCGUCUAACGCAAUAAUACAACUUUCAACAACGGAUCUCUUGGCUCUCGCAUCGAUGAAGAACGCAGCGAAAUGCGAUAAGUAAUGUGAAUUGCAGAAUUCAGUGAAUCAUCGAAUCUUUGAACGCACCUUGCGCUCCUUGGUAUUCCGAGGAGCAUGCCUGUUUGAGCGUCGUGAAUCUCUCAACCCACAAAUUGUUUGUUCAGUUUGUGCGGCUUGGACUUGGAGGCAUUGCUGGCGAUGGUCAGCUCCUCUCAAAUGUAUUAGCUGGGCUUAGCUCGGUGGAACGGUUAGUGUGAUAAUUAUCUGCGCUGCCUACUACAUCGGAUCCCGCUUCUAAUCGUCCGCAAGGACAAUUCACUUUGAAUCUGACCUCAAAUCAGGUAGGACUACCCGCUGAACUUAG
This 538-nucleotide ribosomal RNA is filed under the name uncultured Vuilleminia. Its description in RNAcentral is "eukaryotic LSU rRNA". The stretch from base 153 to 306 matches the Rfam family "5.8S ribosomal RNA". Lineage: Eukaryota; Fungi; Basidiomycota; Agaricomycetes; Corticiales; Vuilleminiaceae. The record is from RNAcentral.